Molecule: long non-coding RNA, 6354 nt
Filed under: Nicotiana tabacum (common tobacco)
Lineage: Eukaryota; Viridiplantae; Streptophyta; Magnoliopsida; Solanales; Solanaceae
Description: long non-coding RNA (NTAB_LNC000557)
Source: RNAcentral
GAUAACCAUAUCGUGCUAUACAUCUGUAGACGCGGUACUCUUUUGGUCCAAUUCUUCCCACCAAGAACCUUUCUUCAGGUCUCACGUGAGGUACUGGUACGGACUUGACACAAAGGAAAACAAGAACCUGGUGGAAAGCAGGUAGGUUGGUGACGAAAUGUGAGAAAAUUGCUGGAAUUCCUGAAACAAGCUCGGUGUGGAUGAGGCCAAUGCCACGGACCCGUGUAAUACCCAGGUUGGGACUCAAGGUGAGCAGCCAGUUGAUGGGAAUUUUGUUUUCAACAUCAAACUCGUACUUUUUCAGGGUGCCAUAAUGCCAACUGUACAUGACGACUAGAAAUAUCAAAGAGAGAACAAUCGGUACCCAGGCCCCUUCGAGGAACUUGAUUAGGGAAGCUGAAAAGUAGAGGGCUUCAAUGGAACCAAAGAAGAAUAUAAAGCAAAUGGCAAGUAACACGUUUUUGUGCCAGCAGAGGACAAUGACUAGAGACAUAAAGCACGUAGUGACCAGCAUAACAGUUAUAACUGCCAGACCUGCAAGAGAAAAAGGUUGCACUGUAACAAAUACGCGUAGUGAUUUCAAACAAAAUUUAGUCCUACACUUUCUCAGCCUUUUGGCUAAGAUCGAGGGAAUUUCAAUAAAUUCAGUUUACAUUUAAAACUGUUCAAUUGCCUGAUGCACAAAAUGAUAACUGCAAGUUGCGAUUAUCUGGUGAAUAUUUAUUUUGGUACACCUAAAGUUCAAUUGUAGUCUGUCUAUAACAUUUUCUAUGAGGUUGAGAGUUAAUUAACUUCCUCUCAGUAUCAGAAAUAACACGUGCACAUUUGGAAGAUCGUCUUUUUACAUUAUGUGGCUUGCAACUUAUCCUUGCAUUUUUCCCUAUUAAUAGUAAAGUAUAACUAAUCAAGAGGUUAUAUUAUUAUAAUAAACUACCAAGAUCAAUUUGAGAUCAGAAAAUAUCAGGAAAAAUGAAUUUUCUAUUCUACCCACUGAUGUGUUAAAAGAGAGUUAUGUUCCAAUCAGAAAAGAAAAGGAGGAAUAUGUAAUAAAACGUGAAACUUAAUCAGGCUUUUAUAUAACAGACUCAGAAUCCUUUAGUGACUUCAUGGACAAUGCAUAUUAUUUGGCUGUUAAUGAUACCUGAUGCGUUGCUUAUGUGUUUCGUGUCACGGAAGCCAAUAGUAACUGCCAAGCAUAGCAACAUCAACGUCCAGUUUAUCUCUGGAAUGUAAAUCUGGCCAUGGAUUUUGGACGAUGUAUGUACUAUUUUGACCCUUGGGAAGCAACCCAAAGCAGAACAUUGCUUGAUUAUAGAAAACGUCCCAGUGAUGAUGGCCUGGCUUCCAACCACUGCAGCAAGUAUAGCAAUAGCCAGAACAGGAUACCGCAGUUUUUCUGGGACAAUGAUGAACAUAUAAAUUAGUUGAAAUGUUUAAACUAGAUAUACAUGCUGCAUUCAAAUGCACGAAGAGAAAAAGGAAAGAAAAAAAGAGAGAAUGUAGCGAAGAGAGGAGCAAAGUACUUACCAGGUACUGAUACAUAGAACCCGAUGUGGUAAUCACCUUGGAUAACAUGAUGCUUGGAAAGAUACGCAGCUUGUCCCAUAUAAGCAAGAAUUAAUGAUGGGUAAACAACAAACGUAAAAGCUAUCUGCAGAGAAGCAGCUCUUAUUGGGACUUGGUUGAAUUUGCAGUUGCCAACGUAAAGCAUUUUAACUCCGUACCUCUACAAGGAACUUUAUUCACAUUGAACAAAACAUCUGCAGAUAAUCUCAGUUUGACAAUAAACACUCCAACACACAUUAGCUCAGUAUCUUACAAAAUGUGUGGUACACAUUUGACAGCUCUCAUAUGAAGCAUAGUUCAUCUCAGGAUACUGCUCUCAAGCAUGCCGAGGCAGCUUACUAAGCUAAGAUGACUAGAUUUGACCAAUCUUUUUCGAGAAAGUAAAGCUGGAAAGACUUGAGAACAUGAGUGAGUCAGUCCAAGGAAAUUUUGGAAAAUUUGAAGUGAUCAAAAGCAUCUAGAUGUUAUCCGACUUAGAUUAGGAGAGCAGAGAUUUGCAGGUAUGACUACCUAGCAUACAUCUAUUCAAGUUUUGCUAAUUCCUCAGUCACCUUGCAAUAAAUUAAAUGUUGUGCACCAGUUUGUCUAUCAAUGCUCCUCAUUGCAGUAUUUAACACAAGUUCAAGAAACUGAUACAAAACCAUUCAGUGCCAAUAUUUCUGGAAUGGGCAAAAGGGAAAGAGUGCCAAACAUACGAGGACAGAAGGAGUAAUAUGAAAGAUGGGUCAAAUAAUUAAGAGUAGUAACUUUAAGUCACAGCUGAAUGCUAAUUCAUUGUGUUCAUUUAACCUAGUAAAUACCAGUUACAUGCUUGAUUGAACAGUCUCUAUCUGAAAAGUUAGUCUUACAAUAAUAAGCUUCAAGAGUUGCAUAACAAAAUUACUUGAGUUAUUUACCUGAAUAGACAGCUGGGAAAAGUGUCCAAGAUCAGCAAACAUAGCUUCUGAACCUGAAAGUUGGACAAGCAAAGAGAGUAUAAAAUUAACUAGGAAGAAAGAAGGCCCAUCCACUGUUAAAAGAAUAGGUCAUAUGCCAAGAAAUGUCAAAUUCCCACCAAAAAUAUCAAGAGAACAAAUUUCACAUAAAGGAAUGCCGUACCUGUUAUACAUAAUAAAAUCCCACCCAGGGACAUCCAUCCUCCUCUUUGGGUCUUCUUUAAGAAUUUGUACAUGUAGUAUGGAGAUAAUGCUUGAUAAACAUGAGGGUUCCAGUGGAAGAUGUUGUACAGCCCAAUUGCACUAAUGCAAAAAAGCCAUGUAAUCACAAUAGGUGCAAAUAGAAAUCCUAUUCGAUGUGUCCCAUAGUGCUGGAGAAAAAAUAAGAACACAAGUAUCACACAAGCAACUGGAACUUCUACAUCUGCAGGGUAAAGAAAUAAUUCAGCACAUUAUUCAUUAGUUCCACAGUUGUUGUUUCUUGUUUCAACAAAAAAAUAAGGAUCUCGUGUUAAUAUGAUAUGAGGACAAUACUAACUAAUGACAUCAUCUUAACAGGCAAAACUAGAAUUCAGCAAUUAUAGAAACAAAAUAAGUUAGCUUCUGACUUGCAUAAUUUCAAAAGUUAACCAGAAAAAUCAUGUAAACUCCGAACAAGUUAAGAAAACAUCACAAUUGUAUCAGAUAUUACAGAGAACUACCUGCUGUUUCACUUCGCAAGUAAAUUAUUAAAGGCAAGGAAACAGGCAGACUUUUCACCUUUGGUUCGCUCAUGGACUAUUGAUUUUCUGUAAAUCAUUUAACUAUCAUAGAGGAAUAUAAGUAACCUCAGAAGGAUGUAGUAUGACAGAAAGUUGGAAUUUCAUCCAUACAAUUGAAUGGAACUAUUCUGGAAAUUAUAUGUCUGGUUUGAACCACAUUCUCAGACUACUUCCAAUACAGAAAUCCAUAAGUUAUGGGUAUGAGUCCAUCUUCGAGUAAACUUUUCAACUUACGAGCCAUAGGCAAUAUUUAUAUGAAUAUUAAGAUUUCUUAGCUUAUUUUCCAAACAAUUCCAUAGAUUGGUUAACAUUAUGCUGUCAAAGGGAUAUACUCAAUCAUUUAGGUAAAUAUUUUCUAGAGGACAUUCAUUAUCAUAAUCCACAAUGGUUAAUUGUAUCAAUAAAGGUUGAUGGACUUGAUUCAAGCCUUGUGCAUGUGAACUUAGCCUGGUAUUUAAAUGGAGAAAGGUAUAGGGGCGGGCACAUUAUCCCCGAGUUUCGAAGGCUAUGGUUGGUCCUAUAGGUUGGACCAGAGAGAAUUUUCUCGGUCAUCAAAAAAAAUCUUUUCCUGUGUUAGAAUGUCAGAAUGGUAGAUUGGAUAAAUUAUCCAAACCAGAAGUCAGACGAAAGUAUAAUGUAUAUAUUGGAUAAACUAUCUCUAAAAGCUCACAGGUGUAAGAAAACUUGUCUAAUGCAUUCUCCCAAUAUAUUUUCUUAUUUUCUCACAUUAUAUAUUAUAUCUCAGAUAUGCUUCGUGAUACAAGAACAAACAGAGAGGGCACUUGUCUUUAAGGAGCUCCAAGAGACAUUCAUACUAGUGCCAUAUUUUCUUCCUUUCUAUUUCAACAGAAUAACCAUUUUAUUCAUAAUUUCCAGUAAGUUAAAACAUUAUCCACCACCUCUGCUUUACGAAAUAAAAAAACUAUGUUUCUAAAGUUGAAACCUCACUUUAAAAAUUAGGAUAACAUCAAUGUGGUCUAUGGAGAAAGCACCUAACUUUAUUUCUUUAUUGAUGUUGAUAUGACUUUGAUUACCAUAUACAUUUUGUCUUAAUUUAGUAUUAAGGGACCCACAAUAAUGCAUCUUCAUUAAAUAUUGGUAACCUCUCCAUGUCACAAAUUGCACGACCAUUAGAAAAAGUUUCCAGAAAAGUGAACCAACUUAUUAUAUUAAAUACUCAAGUCUUGUUACAUCUAGCCCAAACACAUCUGAAUAAAGUAGGCAUAAAUCAAAAUAUAAUAAGUUAGAGAAAUCAAGAAAAACUAAAGAUAAUCACUUGAGAUCAGCCAUAAGGAACUGAUCUCUAUCUACCCCAACAGUUCAUUAUGAAACUAUUUCAAAUUAUUAUCUUCCCCAUUUCCCACCCGUAGGAUUAUACGGUAUGUUGUUGUUGUAUCUUCUCGCCUCGGCCAUAAACACUCACUGGUUCUUUUCAUUGAUCAGCCGGCUAGGGUAUCAGAAUAUCAUCUAUUAUUAUUCUUUGGCAUAACAAGGAUGAAAAUCUAUUAACAUAAUGGAAUAAAGCUGUAAAAUAAAAUAGAUAUAACUUUUGAUUCCUCAUCUUAUUCAACAAAGGGGUACGGGCAAGGGGCCAUAAGGGAACAAUAAAUCUGCCAAAAAAAUUUGGACUCACAUUGGUGAUGAUGCUUUGCCAUUGAAAGUUCAAGUCCAGAGACAGCAGAGAAUACUGCAGAUUCAAUGCACCAUAAAUUAAAUAAAAUAGGAAAGGAUUAAUUUAUCAGCAUCACAACAUCUCCAAUCUGGCAGAUAAACCAAGUCUAACACGGAUCAUACACAAAGGCGGAUUCAGAAACUAAAUUCAAUGAGUUCAACCUUUAUAACACGGAUUCAGAACUUGAUAUAUAUUGAAACUUCAGUAAUUUUUACAUAUAUGCUCCGCGUAGAAAAUACCUGAGAUUGCAGGGGUAAGGACUCCAUCACCAAUAACCAUACAAGUCCCAAUCAAAGCUAAAAUGAGCAAAAUUUUCUUCAAAAAUCUGUGUUUCUCAAGAGUUGAUUUCAAGCUCAUUCCAAUCCUAUCAGCUGACAAUUUUCUAUCAUUCUUGUACUCAUAUAAAUCCUCAUCAGCCAAUUGACCAUUAGGCAAAGUACUAACACGGGCAUGACGGCACAAUAAGGAAUACAAAGCAAAAGUCCCACCUUCACCAUUAUCAUCAGCUCGUAAUACUAUGAACACAUAUUUAAGCAAUGGAAUAAGAGUUAAUGUCCAAAACACAAAUGAUAAAACUCCAAAUAUCUCCUCAUUAGACUCUGAAUGAUGAAUAUCCUCUGCAAAUGUGCUCUUGUAUACAUAUAAAGGUGAAGUACUCAAAUCUCCAUACACCACACCUAAACUCUGAUAAGCUAAGGCUAAAACUGUCCUCCAAGAUUCUUUCUGCAACAAAAUUGGAAUAUCAAAAAUGACUCAAAAGCUCAAUUUUUUCAAACAUGGGUAACAUAAUAUUGCCAAAAAUCUAACCUUUAUUGGAUUUUCACGACCCCAACUUUCAAUAUCCAUUACUAGACUAAUCAAGAACUUGAAAAAAAGCUCAUACUUGGCAAAAUCUUGAAAUGGCUAGUGGUUGAGCAGCACUGCCUUUAGUUGAAGAUAUUGCAACAAAAAUCCAAGAAUUAUAAAGCUUUGGCCUUAUGAGUGGACUGAGAAAUUGAGCGACCCACAGGAAAGAACAUUUAAGGGACAGACACAAAACACCAUGAGGAAAAAACAAAGAUGAAAAAAAAAGGUUGGUGGAAAUUGGAGCUAAGCUGUUUUUUGUUAAAUAGAAAAAUGAUGACAAAAAUAUAGGAGCACACCUUUUGGUUCACCUUAAAUAAUGACACUAAUCCCUGUAAGAAAGGGCAUUAUCACAUACCUAAAACAAAAUUAUGGAAUAGAAAAUUUUCAACUUUAUAUGACAAGAACCCAAAUAUAUACGUGCAGAUGCACUAAAACAAGAAAUGUGUGAGGUUUUGUUUCUUGGCUGGAGGUUCUGGUAAUGGAGUAGUGGAAUAUUUUGAGUGGGUGGGGUGGGUAUGAAAUUCACCAGUAACACGUAAGCUACAGAGGCAACUGAGUUUUGGGGUGGGGGGUG